CCUACGGGUGGCUGCAGUGAGGAAUAUUGGUCAAUGGGCGGAAGCCUGAACCAGCCAAGUAGCGUGCGGGAUGAAUGCCCUACGGGUCGUAAACCGCUUUUGCACGGGGAUAACACCCUCCACUUGUGGAGGUCUGCAGGUACCGUGCGAAUAAGGGCCGGCUAAUUCCGUGCCAGCAGCCGCGGUAAUACGGAAGGCCCGAGCGUUAUCCGGAUUCAUUGGGCUUAAAGGGAGCGGAGGCGGGCGUGCAAGUCAGCGGUAAAAUCGCGCGGCUCAACCGCGCCCCGCAGGUGAAACUGGACGCUUUGAGGUCACAAAAGGCAGGCGGGAUUCGUGGUG
RNAcentral lists this ribosomal RNA (339 nucleotides) under uncultured bacterium. RNAcentral's name for it is "partial 16S ribosomal RNA". It matches the Rfam family "Bacterial small subunit ribosomal RNA", at positions 338 to 675 of the family's 1533-position model. The record is from RNAcentral.